CUUUUACAAUGAAGAGUUUGAUCCUGGCUCAGGAUGAACGCUAGCUACAGGCUUAACACAUGCAAGUCGAGGGGCAGCAUUUUAGUUUGCUUGCAAACUAAAGAUGGCGACCGGCGCACGGGUGAGUAACACGUAUCCAACCUGCCGAUAACUCGGGGAUAGCCUUUCGAAAGAAAGAUUAAUAUCCGAUAGUAUAUUAAAACCGCAUGGUUUUACUAUUAAAGAAUUUCGGUUAUCGAUGGGGAUGCGUUCCAUUAGUUUGUUGGCGGGGUAACGGCCCACCAAGACAACGAUGGAUAGGGGUUCUGAGAGGAAGGUCCCCCACAUUGGAACUGAGACACGGUCCAAACUCCUACGGGAGGCAGCAGUGAGGAAUAUUGGUCAAUGGACGAGAGUCUGAACCAGCCAAGUAGCGUGAAGGAUGACUGCCCUAUGGGUUGUAAACUUCUUUUAUAUGGGAAUAAAGUUUUCCACGUGUGGAAUUUUGUAUGUACCAUAUGAAUAAGGAUCGGCUAACUCCGUGCCAGCAGCCGCGGUAAUACGGAGGAUCCGAGCGUUAUCCGGAUUUAUUGGGUUUAAAGGGAGCGUAGGUGGAUUGUUAAGUCAGUUGUGAAAGUUUGCGGCUCAACCGUAAAAUUGCAGUUGAAACUGGCAGUCUUGAGUACAGUAGAGGUGGGCGGAAUUCGUGGUGUAGCGGUGAAAUGCUUAGAUAUCACGAAGAACUCCGAUUGCGAAGGCAGCUCACUAGACUGCAACUGACACUGAUGCUCGAAAGUGUGGGUAUCAAACAGGAUUAGAUACCCUGGUAGUCCACACAGUAAACGAUGAAUACUCGCUGUUUGCGAUAUACAGUAAGCGGCCAAGCGAAAGCAUUAAGUAUUCCACCUGGGGAGUACGCCGGCAACGGUGAAACUCAAAGGAAUUGACGGGGGCCCGCACAAGCGGAGGAACAUGUGGUUUAAUUCGAUGAUACGCGAGGAACCUUACCCGGGCUUAAAUUGCAUUUGAAUAAUCUGGAAACAGGUUAGCCGCAAGGCAAAUGUGAAGGUGCUGCAUGGUUGUCGUCAGCUCGUGCCGUGAGGUGUCGGCUUAAGUGCCAUAACGAGCGCAACCCUUAUCUUUAGUUACUAACAGGUCAUGCUGAGGACUCUAGAGAGACUGCCGUCGUAAGAUGUGAGGAAGGUGGGGAUGACGUCAAAUCAGCACGGCCCUUACGUCCGGGGCUACACACGUGUUACAAUGGGGGGUACAGAAGGCAGCUACCUGGCGACAGGAUGCUAAUCCCAAAAACCUCUCUCAGUUCGGAUCGAAGUCUGCAACCCGACUUCGUGAAGCUGGAUUCGCUAGUAAUCGCGCAUCAGCCAUGGCGCGGUGAAUACGUUCCCGGGCCUUGUACACACCGCCCGUCAAGCCAUGAAAGCCGGGGGUACCUGAAGUACGUAACCGCAAGGAGCGUCCUAGGGUAAAACUGGUAAUUGGGGCUAAGUCGUAACAAGGUAGCCGUACCGGAAGGUGCGGCUGGAACACCUCCUUUCU
RNAcentral lists this ribosomal RNA (1536 nucleotides) under Bacteroides xylanisolvens. RNAcentral's name for it is "bacterial SSU rRNA". It matches the Rfam family "Bacterial small subunit ribosomal RNA". The record is from RNAcentral. Lineage: Bacteria; Pseudomonadati; Bacteroidota; Bacteroidia; Bacteroidales; Bacteroidaceae.